UUUGAGGGAUCCCCACACUAAAUCCCAGAAGAGCCUUUUCAGCUGUGCAGGAGAGCUCUCAGGGCUCACCUGUGGGUUCCUCUGGAGGGUGGAGCUGCAGGAGCCAUUCGGGCUUCAGGUUAAGUUACAAGACCUGAGAAGGAAUACUGGGCCUGAAAUCUUGUCUGGCCAGGGGCUGGUGUUCAUAUGCUGCUUUGAGGUCAACUAAAAUCCUCUGUGGAGCUGAGGAAAGAGCACCUUCAAGAGUGUUUCUGCAGGUUAUGAUUCUGUCAGAGAUGCCGUGGCUGUAAGGAACUGGCAGCAAGGCAGGGUUAGCAGUUUGAGCAAGCAACAGGAGCUCGUCUUGUGGCUGUUCCAAGCAAGGCAGUGGAAAUGGGUCAGCUGUGUUGACCAAACUGGAAGUGUUUAAAUGCAAAAUAAUGUUGCAGUCGCUGUUGGCACUACAGUGGGAUCUCUGGCCUGUGCUUGCCUCUGCCAAGAGAUGAUUUUGUGUCUGGGAUGUUCAUGUUGCUACUACAAGCCUCAGUUUUCCUCACCUGUAAAGGACAUGAUGGUAUUUUUAAAGAAGACUCAUUGGCUGCCUUGAAAAAUUCACAUGCCUACUUCCCCAGAACUUGUUUUACCAUCCAUACACGCAGUACACAGCGCACCUCCCGAUUUUACAGAAAAACCCUGGUGUUGUUCUGCUCUUCGACCUGCAGCCUUCUGUACCCUGCAAACUGGAGCAAAAAACAUCUGUCUAAUCGAUCCUUAUUUAAUAAACAGUGUUAUCAAUGCCUUUGAGACAGCUGUAUGACAUGGGGACAUCAGGACAUUUGCUGGCUUGCCUUAAUUGGCACGGCAACGUCGGUUUUUGGCCUGGCACAGCAGAUCGAAAAUUGAAUUUGCAAAAUCAAACUGUAGUUAUCUACAUUCCUUGAUGUCCUCCCAGGUGAGCUACUGGGCUUCAUGCUAAUAACUUCUAAAGCAAGCAAACUUCAGCUAAUUAUGUGCUAGUUUAUUCUCCCUUGCUAAAUUUUGGCAGGUUGCUUCUGUAAAUUAUGAAAAAUAAAUGUGAAAUAUGCAGA
This is a long non-coding RNA of Hirundo rustica (Barn swallow), 1067 nucleotides long. RefSeq lists it as uncharacterized. The record is from RefSeq and is a predicted model, not a curated record. The transcript has 4 exons. Lineage: Eukaryota; Metazoa; Chordata; Aves; Passeriformes; Hirundinidae.